UUGCAGUCGACGAGAGUGCCCGCACGGGAGAGUAAAGUGGCGCACGGGUGAGUAACACGUGGGUAAUCUACCUCCGGGUGGGGAAUAACCUUGGGAAACCGGGGCUAAUACCGUAUAACACCGAAAGAGUCUAAGGCGCAAGUCGCCUGGACAGGAGCCCGCGGCUGAUUAGCUAGUUGGUGGGGUAAUGGCCUACCAAGGCAAAGAUCGGUAGCCGGCCUGAGAGGGCACACAGCCACACUGCCCCUGAAACACGGGCCAGACUCCUACGGGAGGCAGCAGUGGGGAAUCUUGCACAAUGGGGGAAACCCUGAUGCAGCGACGCCGCGUGAGCGAUGAAGCCCUUCGGGGUGUAAAGCUCUUUCGACCGGAACGAUAAUGACGGUACCGGGAGAAGAAGCUGCGGCUAACUACGUGCCAUCAGCCGCGGUAAUACGUAGGCAGCGAGCGUUGUUCGGAGUUACUGGACGUAAAGAGUGCGUAGGCGGUCCUAUAAGUCUGUCGUGAAAUCUCCCGGCUCUCCUGGGAGGGUGCGGUGGAAACUGUAGGGCUCGAGUGUGUUAAAGGUAAGCGAAAUUCCUGGUGUACCGGUGAAAUGCGUAAAUAUCANGAAGAACACCUGUGGUGUAGACAGCUUACUGGACCACGACUGACGCUGAUGAACGAAAGCGUGGGUAGCAUACAGGAUUAAAUACCCUGGAAGUCCACGCCCUACACGAUGCAUACUUGGUGUGAGCCAUUCAUUUGGUUCGUGCCUGAUCUAACGCGUUAAGUAUGCCGCCUGGGGAGUACGGUCGCGAAGCUGAGACUCAAAGGAAUUGACGGGGGCACUCACAAGCGGCGGAGCAUGUGGGUUUAAUUCGACGCUUCACUUAGAAGCUAUACCUAGGAAUCGUAACG
RNAcentral lists this ribosomal RNA (900 nucleotides) under uncultured bacterium. RNAcentral's name for it is "bacterial SSU rRNA". It matches the Rfam family "Bacterial small subunit ribosomal RNA", at positions 55 to 988 of the family's 1533-position model. The record is from RNAcentral.